CUAGAUCCUAGGAUCUGGUUAGAGGUUUGCAAGUAGAAAAGUAGGAAUAGAGCUUACAGCCCAUCAUGAGGUCUAAUCUCAUGAGUCUAUCGUGCCAAAGCUACUAAUGCUAAGAAUGCUUCGCCCUGACUAGCUAGUAAGGGAAGGUAGGUAAGUAAGAGGCGGAUCUAGGGAGUCUUUACUUCUUCGACUUCUUAUUCUUAUUCAUAGUUGAGAUACUCCACCAGCAAGCAGCACCGGAGUGAAUCGUAACGUUUCGAUCUGGGGGUCAGGACUCGUCAAG
This 283-nucleotide unclassified non-coding RNA is filed under the name Hevea brasiliensis (rubber tree). Lineage: Eukaryota; Viridiplantae; Streptophyta; Magnoliopsida; Malpighiales; Euphorbiaceae. The record is from RNAcentral.